RNAcentral lists this long non-coding RNA (1240 nucleotides) under Diabrotica virgifera virgifera (western corn rootworm). RNAcentral describes it as "uncharacterized LOC126892729". The record is from RNAcentral. Lineage: Eukaryota; Metazoa; Arthropoda; Insecta; Coleoptera; Chrysomelidae.
ACGAUGAGUUACUACUAUCGUUACUAAAAUGUUAUUCCGAUGGGAACUAGGUAUGCAACCAACUUUACAAGCACUCGUAUUAGAGGUUGCAGUUGAUAGACGAUAAAGUUGGUAAUAUCUGGUAGAUUAGAGUCUAGCAGUUGGCAAUGACGAUAUCCGGCAGGGGUGUAUGUCAUAUCGGCCAUAGCGGCUGGCACUUCACUUGAAUUUUCGUUCUUGUCCGAUCAAGAAGUCCUCCGGUGGCCAUUGUAAGAAUUUACCUUUUGGUUGAAAUAAGUUAUAAGAAGAUUAAUUUACGUUGGAGGAAGUUUUUAUUUUUUUGUUUGGGGUUGUGAAGAGUUUUUGGUUCCAAUAUUUUUUGAAGAAAACAAUGGCCACUGGAGGGAGACUAUAACAAAAUUUAAGUCACAUUUGGAUGCUUCAUUUAUUUAUGGAAUAAACAAUCAUUUUGGUAUUAUUUUGGGUUUGGAUUGGAAGAGUUUUGGAUGUUUUUUUUUUCUCGUUUCUGGAAUAGACACUAAGUUCUAUCGACACUAGCAAGUACCUCCUCGUCAAUACUCUGUGUUGCUGUUCCUUACCUCCCGAGGAUUGGGAAGAUCGGAGGAUACGUACCUGGCUCUCUCAUCAUCAACCUCACCAGGAUUUUGGAGAAGCCACAGGCCUACUUUUGUAGAAACGCCAGGUUUUUAUAAUAAAAUUUGAAUUUUCAAUCCUUUUAAAUAAUAGUUUUCAAUUUUCAAUUUUUUUCAAUAACUCAAAUACAUAACCUUAAUAAUAAUAUAAAUUCACCUUCUUAAACCCUAUUAUCUUUAUAAUAUUCAAUAAUUUUUUUUUUGUCAACGAAUUUUAUAUUUCAUUUUCAUGAUUGUAUCAGGUAUUUAAAAUAAUCUCAGGAUUGUAAACUAUCUGGGACGAUACUGUGCACACUAUCGAAGGGUUUAUUUCCUACUCAAUAAUAUCUAUUCCAUUCACCAGAUAUUGUCAGGUUGUCACUUCCGAUCAGAUACGGGAUUGUCAGCCAAUCUUGUAUUCUACAGUAAUAAUUAGUUUGUACAUGCAUAUUUAGAUCAAAUCACUUCCUUAGUAGAAUAAAUUCAUUACAUAUAUUAGUUUUUUCAUACUGUAAAACCUGCAUUAUCGACAGGAGUGUACUACCAUAGUACGUCGGAUAUUUAGCUAGUGUAUAAAAUUGUAUAUAGGGUUUAUAGGUAUUUUUUUUUAUUAAAUGUGGUUGUACAUA